GAUGAACGCUGGCGGCGUGCCUAAUACAUGCAAGUCGAACGGUGAGUGUAGCAAUAUGCUCAUAGUGGCGAACGGGUGAGUAACGCGUUGGUGACCUGCCCCGAAGUGGGGGAUAACAGUUCGAAAGGACUGCUAAUACCGCAUAGAGUCUUCAGGAUUAGAAGCCUGAUCUCUAAAGGAGAAAUUCGCUUCGGGAGGGACCUGCGUCCCAUCAGCUAGUUGGUGAGGUAACGGCCCACCAAGGCUAUGACGGGUAGGGGACCUGAGAGGGUGGCCCCCCACAAUGGAACUGAACAACGGUCCAUACACCUACGGGUGGGCUG
RNAcentral lists this ribosomal RNA (323 nucleotides) under uncultured Chloroflexota bacterium. Its description in RNAcentral is "bacterial SSU rRNA". It matches the Rfam family "Bacterial small subunit ribosomal RNA", at positions 28 to 351 of the family's 1533-position model. Lineage: Bacteria; Bacillati; Chloroflexota. The record is from RNAcentral.